GACGAACGCUGGCGGCGUGCUUAACACAUGCAAGUCGAACGGUGAAAGAAGAGAUUGCUCUUAUGGAUCAGUGGCGAACGGGUGAGUAACACGUGAGUAACCUGCCCUAGCCUCUGAAAAAAGGGCUGAAAACGUCGUCCAAUACCGGAUCCGAGACAGAACUGCAUGGCUCCUGUCUGGAAAGUUUUUCGGGUUGGGAUGGACCCGCGGCCGUUCAGCUUGUUGGUGAGGUAACGGCUCACCAAGGCACUGAGGGGUAGCCGGCCUGAGAGGGCGACCGGCCACACUGGGACUAAGACACGGCCCAGACUCCUACGGGAGGCAGCAGUGGGGAAUAUUGCACAAUGGGCGAAAGCCUGAUGCAGCGACGCCGCGUGAGGGAUGACGGCCUUCGGGUUGUAAACCUCUUUCAGCAGGGAAGAAGCGAAAGUGACGGUACCUUCAGAAGAAGCACCGGCUAACUACGUG
This 468-nucleotide ribosomal RNA is filed under the name uncultured bacterium. Its description in RNAcentral is "partial 16S ribosomal RNA". It matches the Rfam family "Bacterial small subunit ribosomal RNA", at positions 28 to 507 of the family's 1533-position model. The record is from RNAcentral.